ACACUCUGUCUCUCUCUUUCAAAAAUAUAUAAACAUUAAAAAAUUUUUCUGGCUUCUGCUUGGGGUCCAGAAGGCUUCACAAAAGCACUGGGCCACCCACCCUGCCCCGGGGCUCCCACCAGCUGUGCUUUUGAUAUGUGCGGACAGCUUCUUUUUGCCACAUCUGCUGUGUUCUUUAUUUCAACUAGAAAAACCUUCAUACUUAAUCAUUUUUCUCAGGUCUUGUAAAUGAAUGCCUUCUUAUUCUUGUUUCGUAUUGCCAAUAGCUUCAUGUUCUAUAAAAUAAAUAUAAGGAGUGUUUUAAAUUUUUUCAACGUUUUUAUUUAUUUUAGAGAGAGAGAGAGCACGCGAGUGUGAGCAGGGGAGGGGCAGAAAGAGGAGACACAGAAUCCAAAGCAGGCUCUGAGCUGUCAGCACAGAGCCCGAUGCAGGGCUCGACCCCACGAACCUCGAGUUGAUGACCUGCGCUGGAGUCUGACGCUCAACGGACUGAGCCACGCAGGCACCCGGAUAAUUAGUGUUUCAAAGCCUCGCUCAUCUGUUCCAAUACUUCUGCUUUGGAUGUUCUAUGUUGUCCCACUUUUUGGCCCUUCUCUUGUGAUAUUUUGCUCCUUGGAGAGCCUAAGUUCGUGUUCUGCUGGUACCUGUUCUGUAGGUGGUGCCCAUUGGGGUUCAGGGCCAAUUCCUGGUGCCUCUCGGGAAGCCAGGCAAGAGAAGGGAUGAGCCCUAAGACAGAGAGUCACAAACCCCAAGACCCCUGGUUAGCCAUAUUUAUCUGUAGGUGUAAAGAGUGUUCCUACACAUUUAAAAGGAAAGCGAAGUGUAUCUGUGUCUGUUUUUCUGACACCUGGCCCAUUUUGCUCCCACAUGCUACCUGCCUGUCCCCUGUGAGCAUCGGAGUUUGUCACCUCCCUGCCAACGAUUGUGUGGGCCUGACUCAGAGGCACGUGCCAACCGAGGACGGUUAAAGGGGAUGUGCGUGACCUACAGCCAGUGCCGAUUUGUGCCGAUUCCUGGUCGAAGGGGAGACAGGGAAACUACCCCUGAACGCGCUAUCCGCCAAGGCUGUUCCUGGGUUCCUUAAUGUGGAGUGAAAACUUAAAGCACGUGAACGUUCCCGGUGCAGAAGACGUCAAGAUUCUUACGGCUCUCCCCCAGCCUGUUAACGACUGUUUCACCCAUACCUGCUCCCAUCUUGAGAUCCCCACCUUUAUCGUUUUCCCCAGCGCGUCUGCAGAGAAAUAAACUUUAUUGCCACUCGUA
This is a long non-coding RNA of Prionailurus viverrinus (fishing cat), 1263 nucleotides long. RefSeq lists it as uncharacterized. The transcript has 2 exons. NCBI's taxonomy places the organism in Eukaryota, Metazoa, Chordata, Mammalia, Carnivora, Felidae. The record is from RefSeq and is a predicted model, not a curated record.